GUAUUGCUAAUGAAUUCAUUCCACAUGGAAGUCAAUUGAGACACUUAUAUUUUUUUAAAUUGACCAUUCCAGAGUAACAUCUGUCAAUGUUUAAACCAAUCAGUUAAGGUAUCAUGGCAGAAUACAACAACUUGUAUUGGAUCGUGUAAAGGAACAGAUAUAUUUUGCACAUCUGGAAGCGGCUUGCCUCUGUUUAGAUUACAUGAUAGUAUGACAGCAGGUAAUACAUUCGACUCAAAAACAACUGUUUCAAGUGGUCAUCAAUGCUAUUCUACGAGUGAACAACCCAUUCGCAGCUGCAAAGAGAGGAUGAAGUUUGUAUGUAAUACGUCAAGUCAUAAAGGAGCAAAUAGCACAUGGUAUGAAUCAACACAAACAUGCUUUGCACAUGCCACUACUUUGAUUCAACACAGUCAAAACCUUAAUGGUGGCCUCCCCCCGGGAAUAUGGCUUCAAUAUUUUAGGGAUAUGCAGUUAAUACAGAAGUCGGAC
Long non-coding RNA from Mytilus californianus (California mussel), 492 nucleotides. RefSeq lists it as uncharacterized. The transcript is spliced from 3 exons. NCBI's taxonomy places the organism in Eukaryota, Metazoa, Mollusca, Bivalvia, Mytilida, Mytilidae. The record is from RefSeq and is a predicted model, not a curated record.